Molecule: ribosomal RNA, 375 nt
Filed under: uncultured bacterium
Lineage: Bacteria
Description: bacterial SSU rRNA
Rfam family: Bacterial small subunit ribosomal RNA
Source: RNAcentral
ACACGUAUGGGGCGAGCGUUGUUCGGAAUUAUUGGGCGUAAAGGGCGCGUAGGCGGAUAUGCAAGCUUGGUGUGAAAGACCGCAGCUCAACUGCGGGAGCGCGCUGAGAACUGUGUAUCUAGAGUUCAAGAGGGGAAGCUGGAAUUCCUGGUGUAGGGGUGAAAUCUGUAGAUAUCAGGAAGAACAUCAGUGGCGAAGGCGAGCUUCUGGCUAUGAACUGACGCUGAGGCGCGAAAGCGUGGGGAGCGAACAGGAUUAGAUACCCUGGUAGUCCACGCUGUAAACGAUGUGCACUAGGUGUCGGACCGUUGAAGGUUCGGUGCCGUAGCUAACGCGUUAAGUGCACCGCCUGGGGAGUAUGCUCGCAAGGGUGAA